AAGUCAUAAUAUACAUACAGAAAAUGGCCAUGUCAUUAAUGUAGAGCCCCAGAAAUUUUCACACACCAAACAUACACACUCUAAUGAGCACCACAAAAACUUCCCUAUUGUUCUACAACAGUCACUAACUGCCCUGCCCUGUGAGGGUAAUCGCAAUCCCAACUUCUAGCAGCAUAGCCUAGAUUCACCUUUUUUUUUUGUAUUUGGAUAAAUCGAGUCACCUAAUAUGAACUCUUUCAUGUAGACCUUGUUUGUUGAUCAUGACAUCUGACAUCUGUCAGAUUCAUCCAUGUUGUUUUAUGUAGCAAUAGUUAAUUUACCCUUGGUUCUUUGCAUGAAUAUACAACAAUUAUUUUAUUUAUUCUAGUAUUGGUGGAAAAUUUGGCAGUUUCAGUUUUUUAGCUAUUGACAACAGCAUUCUCUCAACAGUCUGGAACAUAUCUUUGGUAAGCAUGUACGUAUUUCUAUUAGGGAUGUACCUCGGUAAAUCCAGAGAUUUUCACAUUGUAAUUUUUAAACUGUAAGUUGACAGAAAUCACCCCCAGCCUUUCCCUUCCAAACUUUCCCCUUCUUUAUUAAUUAUAAUUCUUACC
Molecule: long non-coding RNA, 593 nt
Filed under: Homo sapiens (human)
Lineage: Eukaryota; Metazoa; Chordata; Mammalia; Primates; Hominidae
Description: HSALNT0318604
Source: RNAcentral